Molecule: ribosomal RNA, 262 nt
Filed under: uncultured bacterium
Lineage: Bacteria
Description: partial 16S ribosomal RNA
Rfam family: Bacterial small subunit ribosomal RNA
Source: RNAcentral
ACACUACGGGACGCAGCAGUGGGGAAUAUUGCACAAUGGGGGAAACCCUGAUGCAGCGACGCCGCGUGAGUGAAGAAGUAUCUCGGUACGUAAAGCUCUAUCAGCAGGAAAGAAAAUGACGGUACCUGACUAAGAAGCCCCGGCUAACUACGUGCCAGCAGCCGCGGUAAUACGUAGGGGGCAAGCGUUAUCCGGAUUUACUGGGUGUAAAGGGAGCGUAGACGGCGCUGCAAGUCCGGAGUGAAAGCCCAUGGCUUAACCA